GCGCUCUGUUUUUAUUGAUAUUUAGGCCGCCUUCUAAGCGGGAUGUUGCAGGUUCGAGUCCUGCUGGGCGCGCCA
Molecule: transfer RNA, 75 nt
Filed under: Brevundimonas vesicularis
Lineage: Bacteria; Pseudomonadati; Pseudomonadota; Alphaproteobacteria; Caulobacterales; Caulobacteraceae
Description: tRNA-OTHER
Source: RNAcentral